Molecule: long non-coding RNA, 2857 nt
Organism: Esox lucius (northern pike)
Lineage: Eukaryota; Metazoa; Chordata; Actinopteri; Esociformes; Esocidae
Source: Ensembl
AUCGUCAGGUAUCGUCUUGAUCUGCAACACAUCCAGGAGGACUUUGGACAGGGACAGCAACAGGCCGCCCAAACCAGGUACUCCGCAGGUUUGCUGAGCUCCGUGUGGCUUUGAAAAGGAUGGAAGAGGAGGAACUGCAGAAAGUGGAGGUGAGCAGUGGACUGCUGAGAUUGGAUGGCAUGGAGGAGAACCUGAGGAAAAUGAAUGAACUGCUGGAGAGAGGAGCGAAGAGGGAGAAACUUCUGCGGGCCGCUGCGGAGUGCAACGAAUCUGUCCUCUUUCUGCGCUGGUGGGGCCUGAAGUCGGUGAUGUCAGGCCAUACUGUCACCCUGAGAGGGGACAACUUGGCCUCCCCCUCCAGGAGUUUCCCCCGGCUGUGCCUGAAGAAGAGCAGAAUCCAGUACAGGAACCCAGACAGCCUGGAAGCCCUGUUCAGACCAGCUAUGGAGAAGAGCCUGAAAAGUUGCAUUGUCCCCAGGCUGGCUCCCUGGGAGCCCCCCCUGUUUGGGAAUGUAUGGGACAAUAUACGUUUGUUUUUUAGACGAAACCAAGAGAGGUAAUUUGCAUUUGGUAAGUCUUUAGUCGUUCAAUAUGCAUCUAUAACAACAUAUGUGAAAUGCGAGAAGUGUAAUUUUAUAUCUUCAUGUAGUACAAGUAGCUGUUAUUUAUGUAAUGGUGUAAUUACAUUAAGUAGGUAGGACAAACACCGCCUAACUAGGAUAGACUGUUAUCGACACCUACUGUAUGUAUCUUGACAAAUUGACCAGUCAGGAAACGUUUAGACUGAUAUGUACAGUGGGGAGAACAAGUAUUUGAUACACUGCCGAUUUUGCAGGUUUUCACACUGACAAAGCAUGUAGAAGUCUGUAAAUGUUAUCAUAGGUACUCUUCAACUGUGAGUGACGGAAUCUAAAACAAAAAUCCAGAAAAUCACACUGUAAGAUUUUAAAGUAAUCAAUUAGCAUUUUAUUGCAUGACAUAAGUAUUUGAUACAUCAGAAAAGCAGAAGUUAAUAUUUGAUACAGAAACCUUUGUUUGCAAUUACAGAUUGUCUCUCACAGAUGAGGUGUACCUAUGAUAAAAAAUUACAGACCUCUACAUGUUUUGUAAGUAGGAAAACCUGCAAAAUCGGCAGUGUAUCAAAUACUUGUUCUCCCCACUGUAUCAUGGAAUUUAUAAGAGUUUAAAAAUCAGGUCUGCUACAGUAUGACAGCCUUCAUACACAGCUCAGAUGAUGGAAAGGUCAGAGAAGUAACUUAAAGGCAAAUAAACAUGACCAAAGUUCACAAUGUCUUUAGAGUGACCAAGCCAAUGUGUGGCACAUAUAUUUAGAGUAGGCUCACAAUUCUUUUCAACUCAGUGGCCUAUGUUUAAACCCCAUGUAGGCCCAGUAAAAUAGAGAGACAAGGACUAAGAACAGAUUCUUGGCCACACAAAAAAGUUAAUUGAGGCAGUAGCAGCUAAGUCAGCCAGCAGUUUUAAUUAGCUGAACUCAGUCCAUAAAUAUCGAGCACAAGCCUUAAUGUUCUAAACUGAAUGUUUAGAAGAACAAGAAGUACAAGCAGAGCCAGAGACAGUAAGGUAAAUGAGACAGGUGAACAAGACAUCCAGUUGAGCACUCUGGUCUACUUUUUCCCCCUAAGCUGAAUAGAGUCUCGUUCUGAUGGCCCUGCCCAAUAUUUCAGUAGAUUUAUGCUGAUGGACAGUUUGUGCUGUGUACUACUACAGUAAUGUUUUCCUACCUUUAUAUAAAGCUAUGCAUCACAAUCAUGACAUUUUUUGAGAAUUUUGUAGUUAAGUCAAUCUAAAUUUCGAUCACCACUUUAUGUCCUGGUCAUUUGGACCAGUAGCUCCAAACUCAACCACUUUGUUUCCCGGUCAUUUGGACUAGUAGUUCCAAACACAACCACUUUGUUUCCAGGUCAUUUGGAUUAGUAUCUCCAAACCAGCCUGGUAAUAUAUACCCACUUAAGGGGCAUGUCUACAAUACCCUAAAACCAGUCUGGUAAUAUAGAACCCCUGAUGGGCAUGUAUACACUACCCUAUAACCAGCCUGGUAAUAAAGGUCUCCCUGAUAGGGCAUGUCUUCACUAACCUAAAACCAGCCUGGUAAUAAAGUCCCCCUGAAGUCACAUGCAAGCUCCUAUUGUAAAGAUUACAACCUAAUGGGAUCGUUCCAGUCCUUACUUGGUGUUUCCUGUUCUGUUUAGUUAAUUAGAUUAAUUACAUUCACCUGUGGUUCCACUCAUCUGUUUUGUGGUAGCCCAUCAGUAUGUGUAUUUAGUUCAGUCCUUUUCUCCCAGUCCUGGUGGGUAUUUCAUCAAGGCAGAUAAAGGAAAAGCUUGUUUAAGUGAGAGUCCCUCCUCAGUAACCUAGAUAACUUAUACCUCUGAACUAUGAUUGCCACCUUCAUUGUGGAAAAAUAAGGGACACCUUGCCAACAGCCCCAAGCACAGGGGACACAAAAGCAGGGGGUCUGGGGGUCCUCCCCGGUGAGAUUUUGUGUGUCAGACACUUAAUUUCCUGCAUUGUGUAUUUUUAUGCACCAAUUUGUGCUUUGUUUGCAUCAAUUUCAAAGUGCUCUGCUAUUCUCAACAUGAAGGUAAUGGAAAUAGAGUCAAUAGGAGUAAAGAACAGUUGCAUCAAUUAUAUUAAGGUUAAAAACAUUAGAUCAUAGGCAGGAAGUUUUUCAAAAUAAAAAAAUAAUUUGGUAUAUUUUGAAGAAGCAAGAACAGACCCUCCAGGAAGGGUGGGGUAGCCUAGCCUUUUCUGUUGCUGCUCCCAUGCUCUGGAAUAGUCAAUACAUUUAAAACUGUCAUUCCACCACUGAACAUUUUAAAUACAAUUUAAAGACCCC